CCUCAUAGACUUACUUAUUCAAGAGCUCCUUAAUGAUAAAUUUCCCCGUAUGUUGCUCAUCGUCCCAUUUCACUUUGUGAAAUUUUUUUUAUCUCGCGGAGCAGUAGGCGGCCACGAAAGGGAGAGACCUCCCCUCUUCUCCGCUCCUCCUCUCCUCGCCGUCGCCUGUCUCGUGUUCGUGGGACUGCAGCCGGAUAGCCCUGGCUCCAGGCCUAAGUUCUUCAACCAUAGGAUGGCCCGACCUUAUACCAUCCUGGCCCGAGACUCCGUAGAACCCUAGCGGCUAGGGCAAGCAUAAAAUCCCAGUCGAACGGAGCAGGGAGGUCACCGGUCGACGGCGAGGUAGCGUGACGCCCAGAGAGAGAGAGAGAGAGACGGCGGGCGGUGGUGGCGGAGGUGGAGGAUGACGGUUGUAGAGGAGAACGGGCGGCGACGGCAGGUUGACGGUGAGACCGGGGAUGCGGUCGACUCACGUAUGGCUGUCCGCAUGUAAAACUUCUAUGCGGAUUUAUGUUCGCAUAGAAACGUUAUGAGUUCGCUCGGAGAUGUCCGCACAUUAGUUUCUAAGCGGAAAUGAUCCGCAUACUAUGUUUACGCGCGAGCUUGCAUAUUAUUG
Molecule: long non-coding RNA, 616 nt
Filed under: Elaeis guineensis (African oil palm)
Lineage: Eukaryota; Viridiplantae; Streptophyta; Magnoliopsida; Arecales; Arecaceae
Description: long non-coding RNA (EGUI_LNC006866)
Source: RNAcentral